This is a long non-coding RNA of Nicotiana attenuata, 509 nucleotides long. RefSeq lists it as uncharacterized. NCBI's taxonomy places the organism in Eukaryota, Viridiplantae, Streptophyta, Magnoliopsida, Solanales, Solanaceae. The transcript is spliced from 2 exons. The record is from RefSeq and is a predicted model, not a curated record.
UUAUACCCUUUGCACUGAAAGAAGAUGCCCACACAUAAUAUUUCAGAAAUUGUCUAAUAUUAGGUAGAAUGGCAUAUGCUAAACUUGGUUUCAUUUAUACUAUUCUUCUCAUUACAGCUACGACCAAUUUAUUGUGGUUCUCUAACAUGCAAGUUAUUGCUGCACGGAGCGUUGAUCAUAAUUUCGCACACCAUCAUAGGAGGCUACUCCCGCAACUUAAUACUUGUACGAGAUCUUGUACUAACGAUAGUGAUUGCACUAUCGAUUGUUGGAUUUGCUGUAGAUGUGGACUCCUCAAUUUGGAAACUGACGAGCGUACAUGUGGGUAGUAGAAUACGAAUAAAAUAGUACGUUAAUGUCCUAAUGCAAAGACUCUUAAUCCAUGUUAUGCAUUUAUGUUUCCGUGUAAUUUCAAUCUUUUCAUCCUCUUUCUAAUUUCCUCGUCUUUCAUACUUUAGUUCUCCUGUUGACUUUUAUAUAUAAUUCAUUACGCUUCAAAUUUUCAUUAA